Molecule: unclassified non-coding RNA, 1219 nt
Filed under: Actinia tenebrosa (Australian red waratah sea anemone)
Lineage: Eukaryota; Metazoa; Cnidaria; Anthozoa; Actiniaria; Actiniidae
Description: uncharacterized LOC116306062, transcript variant X2
Source: RNAcentral
UUUUUUCAAUAUUAAUGCGAUCUUUGCUUCUCUGAUUGACCCUUAUCUUAUAACAUCCCUACAUCCUCUAGCGGACAAUCCAGCUGUUACGGACUUGCAGAAAAGCAAAAAUGAUAUUGGUAAUGAUCAAGUAACUUAUACAUAUCAUGAAGUAAUACCAAUGUUCGGUAUUUAUAACCAAAAAACUAGUUUGCCAACAACCAUGACGGUUUUGGAGCCUAAUUCAAUGGUACAGUUCAAUGUUUCUGUACACAGUGAUCUGUUGAAGGUACACCAGUACUGGGAGUUAACAGAUAUUGCAGAUGGAAGCGUAAAAGUAACAGACAAUCUUGCAAUCACAAGCUAUGGCAUUCUAGCAAGAUAUGCAGCAAGUGAGGCUUUGAAAGCUCACACAAUGCUCCUAAACAACCUUAAAAAGAAAUUGGAACAAUAAUGAAAUUCAAGCCAAUAGGUGACUUGUAUUAUAGAGUCAUUUACUACCAUUACAAUAAUCCCUUGCACCCUUUCUUUUGUUCUGUUAAUUAGCACCAAUUGUCUUACUAUUCGCAUGAGGAAAUGUAAAUUUGAAUAGAAAAGAAAAUUCAUGAAGCAUUUUGGUAGUGUUAGUAAAAUGAUGCCAUCAUAAAUGCAAAUGGCCCAUAUAGUUGAAGAUAGUGGAAUUGUCAUUACGUAUGUAAUGAUUAAGCCAUAUCUCAUGAGGGCAAAUAGUGAUCCUAUUAUUGUUAUAUUAACAAACUGGACAGCAUUAGAAUAUGACGGAAAGAAAUUUCAAUUGAUUUUUAUUUAGAAUCUCAUAACAGUGGGAUUUGAUUUGAUGUAUGUGUGUAUAGAUUACAAUUAGCUAGUUAUUUCUCUCCUGUGCUUGGAGGGAUUUUCUCUGGGUUCUUUGCCUUUCCUAGCUCUCUGCAAAAAUCAACUUCUAAAUUCCAAUUUAAAUUCAGUGGUAGAAGAGGCACUCUUUGGAAUCACUGUUAAUUUCCCAUCGUCAUCAUUGUUGCAUCGUCGUCAUCAUUUGUUAUUACAUCAAAAACUAUUUUUUCUACCAUACAUAGACUUUGAAAUCGACCACUAUUAGAUCAGGCAAUAGGAAUAUUCAAUAUUCAAUAGUCCACUUGUUUCUAUAUGCUUUAUGUAGUGUUUUGAAAUCAUAAGGAAAUGUUAUUUUUUUAUUUGGGGGAGUGCUGGGAGAUUCAAAUUAAAUAAACAUUUUUAAAAUUGG